This 831-nucleotide ribosomal RNA is filed under the name uncultured bacterium. RNAcentral describes it as "bacterial SSU rRNA". It matches the Rfam family "Bacterial small subunit ribosomal RNA", at positions 625 to 1455 of the family's 1533-position model. The record is from RNAcentral.
UCUGGAANCUGUCUGACUUGAGUGCAGAAGGGGAGAGUGGAAUUCCAUGUGUAGCGGUGAAAUGCGUAGAUAUAUGGAGGAACACCAGUGGCGAAAGCGGCUNUCUGGUCUGUCACUGACGCUGAGGCUCGAAAGCGUGGGUAGCGAACAGGAUUAGAUACCCUGGUAGUCCACGCCGUAAACGAUGAGUGCUAGGUGUUAGGCCCUUUCCGGGGCUUAGUGCCGGAGCUAACGCAAUAAGCACUCCGCCUGGGGAGUACGACCGCAAGGUUGAAACUCAAAGGAAUUGACGGGGGCCCGCACAAGCGGUGGAGCAUGUGGUUUAAUUCGAAGCAACGCGAAGAACCUUACCAGGUCUUGACAUCCCGAUGCUAUUCUUAGAGAUAGGAAGUUACUUCGGUACAUCGGAGACAGGUGGUGCAUGGUUGUCGUCAGCUCGUGUCGUGAGAUGUUGGGUUAAGUCCCGCAACGAGCGCAACCCUUAUUGUUAGUUGCCAUCAUUAAGUUGGGCACUCUAGCGAGACUGCCGGUAAUAAACCGGAGGAAGGUGGGGAUGACGUCAAAUCAUCAUGCCCCUUAUGACCUGGGCUACACACGUGCUACAAUGGUCGGUACAACGAGUUGCGAGCCGGUGACGGCAAGCUAAUCUCUGAAAGCCGAUCUCAGUUCGGAUUGGAGGCUGCAACUCGCCUCCAUGAAGUCGGAAUCGCUAGUAAUCGCGGAUCAGCACGCCGCGGUGAAUACGUUCCCGGGCCUUGUACACACCGCCCGUCACACCACGAGAGUUUGUAACACCCGAAGUCGGUGAGGUAACCUUUUAGGGGCCAGCCG